Molecule: ribosomal RNA, 468 nt
Filed under: uncultured bacterium
Lineage: Bacteria
Description: partial 16S ribosomal RNA
Rfam family: Bacterial small subunit ribosomal RNA
Source: RNAcentral
GACGAACGCUGGCGGCGUGCUUAACACAUGCAAGUCGAACGGAAAGGCCCUGCUUUUAUGGGGUGCUCGAGUGGAGAACGGGUGAGAAACACGUGAGUAACCUCCUCUUGACUUUGGUAUAACUUCAGGAAACUGGGGAUAAUCCCGGAUAGGAGAUCCUGCUGCUUGUUGGGGGAUGGAAAGUUUCGGCGGUUGGGGAUGGACUGGGGGCUUAUCAGCUUGUUGGUGGGUUAGUGGCUUACCAAGGCUUUGAUGGGUGGCCGGCCGGAGAGGGGGACCGGCAACAUGGGGACUAGGAUAGGGCCCAGACUCCAACGGGAGGAGGCAGGGGGGAAUAUUGCACAAUGGGGGGAAGCCUGUGGCAGCAACGCGGCUGGCGGGUUGACGGCUUUGGGGUGGUAACCCGCUUCCGCCGGUGACGAGGCGUGAGUGACGGUAACUGGUAAAGAAGCACCGGCUAACUACGUG